AUAUUACGACGACGUGGUUCUCUCCAUAUCUAUAAUGUGGUGGUUGAUCGUCAAUUAAAAAAUGAAGACCUAACUCUUGCCGACACUAUGUGUAGUUCCUUUUGUGAGACCUAUCUCUUGCUGACACUAUGUGUAGUCCCCUUACUGUGAAACUAAAAUGUUUUAUGCUUUAAACCAGUUUACAUUAUAUUCGUCAAAUAAUCAUCUAUAUAGAUGUGAUUUUAUAUCAGAUUAGUUAUCUCUUCUGAACAUUGACAACCAAUCUGAUUAACUUACGAAAUUUUACAGAGCAAUUAGUAGCAUAUAUCUCCCAGUAAAAAGCAGAGAGAGAGAAACAUAGUUAAGCAGAGAAGAAACCAUUAGAAACAGCAAGAGCAAAAUGAGAUUUAGCUUCAAGCUUCCUCUUUAAACUCUUGAUCAUGUCCUCCUCUUUUUUUUUUGAUAAUCCAGGUAUCCAAAGCCCAGUGAGUCCUGACUAGCCCACUAGCCCGAAAGCUUGGCGUACGUCCCGAAGGCGGCAAGAGUGGUUCCUGGAGACCACAAAAAGAAAAAGAAGAACCCAACCCAACCCAACCUCCGCAAUCCCAAAGGACGUCAACUUUGCCGGGAAAUUAUUACACAGCCCAACCUCCGCACAACUCGAUGCUUUCUUUGCCAUUAGCUUCAUCCUCCGCUCGUAUUCCUCCACCACCAUAUUGCUAUGUCAGCCAUUAAUUGUUACAAUCCCUCGAUCUUUCUCUUGAGUUCUAUGUGCCAAGAAUGAACACAACAUAGAAAGCUAAUUUAUAUUGUUGCUUUAACUUGCUGUUUCGGAUAAGGAUUGUUCCAUCUUUUUUUAAUUAUUAUAAGGAUCGGACUGCUGAUGUUUUUUUUAUUCCAACGGUUUAAGUUGUUUUAGUUUCUCAUUCAACGGUUACGAUUUAAGAUGAUAUUAUUAAUAAUUUAAUUUAUUAGAUAAAUGAAAAGGCACCUCUUUGCUUCCUUCCCCAAAUCGUCAUUUCUUUUUGUUUUGCCUUGCGGAAUCAAAGCUUCUCUUCGUAAAAACCUGUUCAAUUACGAAUUACCUCUUUUCAUACCUUUAUAUUUGGAAUAUGUUCAACUUACAACUUAUUUGGUUUUGUGCACUUCUCUCUCGCUUAUUCUCUUGAGAUGUCUUGUUUUAUCAUUUCCUCUUAUACCAAGUUGGGUUCAUUCCCGGUGGGUGUGGUUGUGUGGAGAAAGGCUUGAACGUUUGCUUACCAAGGCUUUUUCAUCUACAAUGUUUAUGAUUUUUCCUUUAUGUGAGAAUUCGUUGAUAUAUAUUAAAAGUGUCGUUGACGUGUGUAGUCACGACUUCUAUUUUCAACAUUCUUACCAGAGUACAAGAUUGGCUCAAACAAACCAAUAUGAAGGAACAUUGUUUACAUAGGUAAUUAAGUGCGGAACUGUGCGAAUUUGUCGUGCUAAAUUAUCCGCUUUACCAUUCUGGGAAUGAGGGACGUAGACUAAAAAAAAGAAGUAAACUCCUCUUUAUCCGCUUGUAUAUCCUCCAAAAAGGCAUGAAAGCUACCCACUCGGAAGACGAAGACACCAUCUUCACUAAGUCGGAGCAGUCGGUGAGAAAGACAACAGAUUGGUUAUCUGCCCCAAUCAUACAACACAUAGCCCAGACAAGGGCUUCAAUCUCUGAAGAGGGGAGAGACUACGGCGAAGGUUGGCAGCUCCCAUAGUAGGAGUGUCACCCGAGAGCGACGUGCAAAACAAUCCUCUACCCGCAUAACGAUCUGUUGCUUUCCAAGAAAUAUCUACAAAAUAAUUUCAUUAAUGUUGUUAGAUAGGAAAAGAUGGAUCUUGUUUAUAAAAAAAACACAUCUCGCUUGUUACCAUUUCUAGAGUUAUGGGA
Camelina sativa (false flax) is the source of this 1882-nucleotide long non-coding RNA. RefSeq lists it as uncharacterized. The record is from RefSeq and is a predicted model, not a curated record. Lineage: Eukaryota; Viridiplantae; Streptophyta; Magnoliopsida; Brassicales; Brassicaceae.